Molecule: ribosomal RNA, 318 nt
Filed under: Triticum aestivum (bread wheat)
Lineage: Eukaryota; Viridiplantae; Streptophyta; Magnoliopsida; Poales; Poaceae
Description: partial small subunit ribosomal RNA
Source: RNAcentral
AUGCUUGCCAGAUGUUGUAAAACUUCAAACACUGAGAUGAAGGGGUUGAAAUUUAGCAUGGAGAUACGAAAUUAUGUUAUCAGCUCCUUGCCCGAAUUGUGCUGUGUGGUGUACCAGCCUUGCUUGGUAGAAAGACGAAAGAGAUCCGAAUGCUUUAGGGACUUGGGAGUUUCUGCUGCAGUGCUCAAUGCACUCUCGUGGUCUAGAAAAAUACUACCUCUGUCCCAUAAUAUAAGACGUUCUUUGCAGUUUGAAACUGCAAAAAUGUCUUAUAUUUUGGGAAACAUUGUUGUAUGUCUGUACGUUUUCUGUGAAUAA